UUGCAGGCCAAGAUUGGAAAUAGUAAAAGUGAUUGUGUACUUGUAGAGAGCCGAUGGUUGGUGUAAAUCGGUAGACACACAUUUUGAACUCGUCCAUGAGCUACUCCCUGAACAUAAUAGUAAGGGAUGUCGGUUUCCCCCGUUAACAGGAUAGACAGUGAUAGCUGUCGAUAAGUGGACUUUUUCUGUAAUGAGAAGGUCAAUUAGAGUGGUACCGCGAGCAUAAACUCGUCUCUAUU
RNAcentral lists this non-coding RNA (239 nucleotides) under Lysinibacillus sphaericus. RNAcentral describes it as "Lysinibacillus sp. T-box sequence". It matches the Rfam family "T-box leader". Rfam says of the family: Uncharged tRNA acts as the effector for transcription antitermination of genes in the T-box leader family. The record is from RNAcentral. Lineage: Bacteria; Bacillati; Bacillota; Bacilli; Caryophanales; Bacillaceae.